GAUGAACGCUGGCGGCGUGCUUAACACAUGCAAGUCGAACGAAGCAUUUAAGCGGAAGUUUUCGGAUGGAAGCUUUUAUGACUGAGUGGCGGACGGGUGAGUAACGCGUGGGUAACCUGCCCUAUACAGGGGGAUAACAGUUGGAAACGACUGCUAAUACCGCAUAAGCGCACAGUAUCGCAUGAUACGGUGUGAAAAGCUCCGACGGUAUAGGAUGGGCCCGCGUCUGAUUAGCUAGUUGGCAGGUAAUGGCCUACCAAGGCGACGAUCAGUAGGGGUUCUGAGAGGAAGGUCCCCCACAUUGGAACUGAGACACGGUCCAAACUCC
RNAcentral lists this ribosomal RNA (328 nucleotides) under uncultured Lachnospiraceae bacterium. RNAcentral's name for it is "bacterial SSU rRNA". It matches the Rfam family "Bacterial small subunit ribosomal RNA", at positions 28 to 339 of the family's 1533-position model. The record is from RNAcentral. Lineage: Bacteria; Bacillati; Bacillota; Clostridia; Lachnospirales; Lachnospiraceae.